Molecule: RNA transcript, 1758 nt
Organism: Glycine soja
Lineage: Eukaryota; Viridiplantae; Streptophyta; Magnoliopsida; Fabales; Fabaceae
Exons: 5
Source: RefSeq, a predicted model, not a curated record
UGGAGAUUUUAUAAGGUGGUGAAGUGAACCAUUGAAUGGAUAGCUUUGAAAAUCAAAUGAAGAAAUCCACGCCUACUUUCAUAAGAAAUUCAUUCCAAAAGUCAUAUAAAAUUAAAUGUUAAAUCUUUCUACAAAGUCAAUUGAUUUGGUGUCAUCAAGUAACAAUAAAUCAUCACAACAUACGUACGUGAGAAUAUUAGUUGAAGAACCUGAUUUAGAAUCUGUAAAAGUGAGAAUACUGACCUGAAAAUGCAAGAAUACUUACUUGGAAUGGUGAGAAUACUGACCUGAAAAUGCAAGAAUACUUACUUGGAAUGGUGAGAAUACUGAUGUACACAUAAAUAAAGGUGACAAUACUGGAUUCAUGAAUUAAUUAGGUCCAUGUGAUUAAUUUUUUAUAACAACAAUUAGACGAAAGAACUCGAUUAAAAAGACGAAUACAAGUUGAAGAACUCAGCGAAAAUGCAGGGCUACAAUAUGAAGUAAAAUUUAGUUUGAGAGAGAAAGUAGUAAAAUUAGGGGGAAAGUAAACCUAUAAACAGCUGAGAGGUGGUGUGAUGGUUCCAUUUACAAGUGAGUGGAGUUGAAAGGAAGAGAAGGGGUUUUGCGAAGGUGGCAUGGAGGAGGAGGAAGAAGCCCCAGACGUUAUAUGCUAGCUGGAAAACGUUCAAGGGCCGUUCGGUGGAAGCGCCAGCAGAAUGCGGUUGCCUCCAAGCCAAGGUUUAUCUCAAAUGAUAGAUCUGUAGAUUCUCUGGAUGCCAGUAUUUGUGCAGAGAUCAGGACAAAGAUUCCAGAUACAAUUGCAUGGGACUACAAUUUUGAACCUGCAGGGGCAAACCCUUUAACCUUUACUGUUAAAUCUGCAGCUCUAAAGGAAGCUAUUGAGGAUCUUGAAUGGCCUGGAUCAAGCAUCCAGAUUAUUCUAGAGCCAGAGCUUCCUUCUGUUACAUUAAGAAAAUAAGAGAUCAACAGGUGCAACACUUGUUUUAUUUAAUUCUAAAGCCAGAGCCUCCAGAUUAUUCUACACCAAGUUUGUACUGUGUUGUUUUUAACUCAAAUGAUCAGAUGCUGGUUGCUUUGAAAUUUAAACUGACUAUGUACACAUUUUGUUUUUCAGAUAGACUUCAUGUAUUAUGUGAAUUCUGAACUCUUGGUGGCAUUUCAGUGUGAUCAUUGAGCUUCUUUCAAGUACAAAUAUAAGUUCCUCAGAGCAACAACUUCUAAUAUGCCUAGCAGUGUUAUUAAAGAAAAUAGAGGAAGUAAGUUAAGCAUUGGGAGAGGUGGAAUGUUAAAAGUUCAGCAUCUGGUUUCAAUUGCCAAACCAUCUGUGUCACACACAUGUUGAUUCAGUUGGCUAUCAGCAACCAGGUAGAAUAGCUCAUAUUGAAUUCUUUGUGAAACCAGAGGAAAGUGAGGACUAAACGAAUGAUUAUUAGUUAUUAUAAAGGUUCUGUCAAGUUUUUCUAUGCAAACCAUUAACUUUGCAUAAGAAGAUAGUCUUCCUCUAGGAGCUCUUGAAAAAUAUUACAAAUUGGUUUGUAUUCAUAAUCGUUUAAUCUGAGUUUUAGACGGAACGAGCUUGGUAAGGCCACCGAAACUUCAAAUAGAAUCGUGGCAAUGUUGCUCAGAUUUUGAAAUUUUUUUAUGCAUAGUUCAGUUGGUUUAUAAUGCUUUAUGUGGGAGAUAGGAGGUGUUGUUAGGAAUUAACUUGUACGUGUGUACGGUUGGGAUGACUUCUUUCAACCUGAGGUUUAAAUA